UACGUAGGGUGCAAGCGUUAUCCGGAAUUAUUGGGCGUAAAGAGCUCGUAGGCGGUUUGUCGCGUCUGCUGUGAAAACUGGAGGCUCAGCCUCCAGCCUGCAGUGGGUACGGGCAGACUAGAGUGCGGUAGGGGAGAUUGGAAUUCCUGGUGUAGCGGUGGAAUGCGCAGAUAUCAGGAGGAACACCGAUGGCGAAGGCAGAUCUCUGGGCCGUAACUGACGCUGAGGAGCGAAAGCAUGGGGAGCGAACAGG
RNAcentral lists this ribosomal RNA (253 nucleotides) under uncultured bacterium. Its description in RNAcentral is "partial 16S ribosomal RNA". It matches the Rfam family "Bacterial small subunit ribosomal RNA", at positions 524 to 776 of the family's 1533-position model. The record is from RNAcentral.